GAGUAACACGUGGAUAACCUACCUAUAAGACUGGGAUAACUUCGGGAAACCGGAGCUAAUACCGGAUAAUAUUUUGAACCGCAUGGUUCAAAAGUAAAAGACGGUCUUGCUGUCACUUAUAGAUGGAUCCGCGCUGCAUUAGCUAGUUGGUAAGGUAACGGCUUACCAAGGCAACGAUGCAUAGCCGACCUGAGAGGGUGAUCGGCCACACUGGAACUGAGACACGGUCCAGACUCCUACGGGAGGCAGCAGUAGGGAAUCUUCCGCAAUGGGCGAAAGCCUGACGGAGCAACGCCGCGUGAGUGAUGAAGGUCUUCGGAUCGUAAAACUCUGUUAUUAGGGAAGAACAUAUGUGUAAGUAACUGUGCACAUCUUGACGGUACCUAAUCAGAAAGCCACGGCUAACUACGUGCCAGCAGCCGCGGUAAUACGUAGGUGGCAAGCGUUAUCCGGAAUUAUUGGGCGUAAAGCGCGCGUAGGCGGUUUUUUAAGUCUGAUGUGAAAGCCCACGGCUCAACCGUGGAGGGUCAUUGGAAACUGGAAAACUUGAGUGCAGAAGAGGAAAGUGGAAUUCCAUGUGUAGCGGUGAAAUGCGCAGAGAUAUGGAGGAACACCAGUGGCGAAGGCGACUUUCUGGUCUGUAACUGACGCUGAUGUGCGAAAGCGUGGGGAUCAAACAGGAUUAGAUACCCUGGUAGUCCACGCCGUAAACGAUGAGUGCUAAGUGUUAGGGGGUUUCCGCCCCUUAGUGCUGCAGCUAACGCAUUAAGCACUCCGCCUGGGGAGUACGACCGCAAGGUUGAAACUCAAAGGAAUUGACGGG
RNAcentral lists this ribosomal RNA (823 nucleotides) under uncultured bacterium. Its description in RNAcentral is "bacterial SSU rRNA". It matches the Rfam family "Bacterial small subunit ribosomal RNA", at positions 108 to 917 of the family's 1533-position model. The record is from RNAcentral.